RNAcentral lists this unclassified non-coding RNA (204 nucleotides) under fungal sp. RNAcentral's name for it is "partial internal transcribed spacer region". The stretch from base 1 to 46 matches the Rfam family "Eukaryotic small subunit ribosomal RNA", at positions 1786 to 1831 of the family's 1831-position model. Lineage: Eukaryota; Fungi. The record is from RNAcentral.
AAGUCGUAACAAGGUUUCCGUAGGUGAACCUGCGGAAGGAUCAUUAUCAAUGAUAUUCAUCAUAACACUGUGAACUUAAUGAACUGAAUUUGGGGAUGAUCUUAUUAAGAUCUCCCCAAAAUAUUAAAACACUAUAAUUUUUAAGCAGAGUCAAUAUUAUUAAAAUAAUUUAGACAACUUUUAGCAACGGAUCUCUAGGUUCUC